AGCGAAUGGAUUGAGAGCUUGCUCUCUAGAAGUUAGCGGCGGACGGGUGAGUAACANGUGAGGUAACCUGCCCAUAAGACUGGNGAUAACUCCGGGAAACCGGGGCUAAUACCGGAUAAUAUUUUGAACCGCAUGGUUCGAAAUUGAAAGGCGGCUUCGGCUGUCACUUAUGGAUGGACCCGCGUCGCAUUAGCUAGUUGGUGAGGUAACGGCUCACCAAGGCAACGAUGCGUCCGACCUGAGAGGUGGNUCGNCCCCACUGNGACUGAGCGGGGACCCAACACUAAUACGGGAGGCAGCAGUAGGGAAUCUUCCGCAAUGGACGAAAGUCUGACGGAGCAACGCCGCGUGAGUGAUGAAGGCUUUCGGGUCGUAAAACUCUGUUGUUAGGGAAGAACAAGUGCUAGUUGAAUAAGCUGGCACCUUGACGGUACCUAACCAGAAAGCCACGGCUAACUACGUGCCAGCAGCCGCGGUAAUACGUAGGUGGCAAGCGUUAUCCGGAAUUAUUGGGCGUAAAGCGCGCGCAGGUGGUUUCUUAAGUCUGAUGUGAAAGCCCACGGCUCAACCGUGGAGGGUCAUUGGAAACUGGGAGACUUGAGUGCAGAAGAGAAAGUGGAAUUCCAUGUGUAGCGGUGAAAUGCGUAGAGAUAUGGAGGAACACCAGUGGCGAAGGCGACUUUCUGGUCUGUAACUGACACUGAGGCGCGAAAGCGUGGGGGGCAAACAGGAUUAGAUACCCUGGUAGNCCACGCCG
Molecule: ribosomal RNA, 757 nt
Filed under: Bacillus thuringiensis
Lineage: Bacteria; Bacillati; Bacillota; Bacilli; Caryophanales; Bacillaceae
Description: bacterial SSU rRNA
Rfam family: Bacterial small subunit ribosomal RNA
Source: RNAcentral